CUUGCACAAACAAACAAGCAAACAAGCAAGCAAAAAAUAAAUAGAACGUCAUGCACAGCUAAAUUUAUUUGAUCACACUGUAUUAAUUUGUUUUUUUGC
This 99-nucleotide non-coding RNA is filed under the name Florenciella parvula. Lineage: Eukaryota; Dictyochophyceae; Florenciellales. The record is from RNAcentral.